RNAcentral lists this transfer RNA (68 nucleotides) under Bembrops anatirostris (duckbill flathead). RNAcentral describes it as "tRNA-Ser". Lineage: Eukaryota; Metazoa; Chordata; Actinopteri; Perciformes. The record is from RNAcentral.
GAGAGAGGCUCGCCAGCAACGAAGCUUGCUAUCCUUCGGACCCUUGGUUGAACUCCAUGGCUCACUCG